This 480-nucleotide ribosomal RNA is filed under the name uncultured bacterium. RNAcentral's name for it is "bacterial SSU rRNA". It matches the Rfam family "Bacterial small subunit ribosomal RNA", at positions 28 to 524 of the family's 1533-position model. The record is from RNAcentral.
GACGAACGCUGGCGGCGUGCUUAACACAUGCAAGUCGAACGGUGAACCAGAGCUUGCUCUGGGGAUCAGUGGCGAACGGGUGAGUAACACGUGGGCAACCUGCCCAGACUCUGGGAUAACCUCGGGAAACCGAUGCUAAUACCGGAUACGACCACUUCGGACAUCCGACGGUGGUGGAAAGUUUUCGGUCUGGGAUGGGCCCGCGGCCUAUCAGCUAGUUGGUGGGGUAAUGGCCUACCAAGGCGACGACGGGUAGCCGGCCUGAGAGGGCGACCGGCCACACUGGAACUGAGACACGGUCCAGACUCCUACGGGAGGCAGCAGUGGGGAAUAUUGCACAAUGGGCGAAAGCCUGAUGCAGCGACGCCGCGUGAGGGACGACGGCCUUCGGUUGUAAACCUCUUUCAGCAGGGACGAAGCGAAAGUGACUGUACCUGCAGAAGAAGCACCGGCUAACUACGUGCCAGCAGCCGCGGUAAU